GGGUCCCUCAGGACCUGUGCCGCCACCAUGGGAGAUUCCUGCCCCGGACACGUGGUAGACGUCCCGAGGAUGUGCGGGCAGCUUCAAGCCGGCCCCAUCUGCCACGGGGCUCUUCAGUUGUGAGGCCGGGCACCCUGCCCCCCGGAGGGAAGCUCUCCAGGGCUGACAGGAUGGGAGCCCGGACACGGAAUGACAGGCGGAGAUGGUGGCAGCAGGCUCCCUGCUCUGGGCCCUGCAGGGUGGGCGUCCCAGCGGCACAGUCGGCGGCUGGCCCGGCCUCUCCAUCAGCAGCCAGGUAAUUCGUGUCCCUUUCUGGCCGUGAGAGCAGAUCACCCUGGUCAGGAAGCUCCUGAUGCGUAAGAGUGACCCGUCCAGCCGGACAGGCCAGGCCUGAGCCCCAGGAGGCGAGCCCUGUGAAGGCAGCGAACACCCCGAGGGCCCUUCACUGGUUCCCCAGCCUCUACGAAGGCCACAAAAUUCACACCCGUGGCCCCACUGCACCCAGGAGGGCAAUGCGGACACCACCCGCCUUCUAGGGAAGCGCUGCAGGCAGAAACCCCACAGGCAACGUCAAGAACUUCCCCAGCAU
Molecule: long non-coding RNA, 589 nt
Filed under: Neogale vison (American mink)
Lineage: Eukaryota; Metazoa; Chordata; Mammalia; Carnivora; Mustelidae
Description: Neovison vison (American mink) lncRNA (ENSNVIG00000010711.1)
Source: RNAcentral